UGCAAGCAUGUUUCGUGCCACGGCUCCUCUCAGCAUGAGAUAUAUUGGCAUUGCGAUUGACGUGCUGAAGAACGAGUCUGGGCCCGGCUAUAGCAAUACUGUGGAGGCUGCCGGCAAGGCUAUUGAGCAGAGAGUGAGCACGCCGCUGGGCAGAUUUUGGUACUUUGGCUAAUUGGACGUUUCGCUUAGGUACCUGCUAUCACUCAGGCAAAAAUACAGUAUGUUCCGUGAAGAAGAAGAAAAAGAGAGAAAGAAAAGAAAGGAGAAUAAAGAAACCCCCAAUUUGGAAUUCGAUUUCUCACUCUUUUUACAGAGGCACUCGACCGCAUCGUUCUUCAAAAGAUCCAUUUGACACAAAGGAAGUCAUCACUGUCUCGUUCCACGAUGACAAGGGGACUAGACUGCUAUCAAUUCAUGCUCAUGACGAUGGCACCUGGAAAGAGUAUUUCUCUCGCGCCGGAAGAAGCAAGUCGCAAUCGCGAUCCACAUUUCCUGCCACGGAGGACGUGACCAGCGGAGACAAUGGAGAAAAUCCGGGUUCAGCAUCUUAGAACAAGCCACAUCGAGUCUGCCAUUUCUCCGAGUAUUCGAUUGAUUUUGCCGUGAUUUCUAUACGUUCCCUGAUAGAUAGACAUGCCUUCUUCUAACUGCAUAGACCAGGUUAGCUGGCUGGCCCAUCUCCUGUUACCCAGUUUAGGCAAUGGCAUUUGUUGUUAAACCAGCUCGGGGGAAUCUGCCGUGGCUUUUGUCUCUAUUGUUAUCUCAAUUGUUGUGGAGAACAUACAAUGAUGAGGAAUUGCUUUUACGUCCAGCAUCUAACUUGAAAGCUAUAUCAAAAUCCUAGCGC
RNAcentral lists this small RNA (847 nucleotides) under Histoplasma capsulatum var. duboisii H88. RNAcentral's name for it is "Histoplasma capsulatum H88 hypothetical RNA". The record is from RNAcentral. Lineage: Eukaryota; Fungi; Ascomycota; Eurotiomycetes; Onygenales; Ajellomycetaceae.